RNAcentral lists this long non-coding RNA (35520 nucleotides) under Ananas comosus (pineapple). RNAcentral describes it as "long non-coding RNA (ACOM_LNC026291)". The record is from RNAcentral. Lineage: Eukaryota; Viridiplantae; Streptophyta; Magnoliopsida; Poales; Bromeliaceae.
CUAGCUUUUCAGGGGUCGCUCAUCCUAGGACUACUCCCGUUCUAGUAUGCUUAACUUUUUUAAGCUGUUGGGUUUAGCCAUCCCAACUUCCCAGGAGUCACUCAUCCUAGGACUACUUCCGUCCUAGUAUGUUUAACUUUUUUAAGCUCUUGGGCGUAGCCACUACCCAAAAUCUUAAGUCGGAUUAAAAGUUUUAACCCUCUAUCGCUUGGUAAUUGGCUCUGAUAUCAACUAUGACGUUCCAACUUUUCAGAGAAUUACCUAUUCUAGGACUACUCACGUCCUAACAUGCUUAACUCUCUUAACUCUCUUAACCUCUUGGCCUAUCCACCCACCAAAAUGAUUAAGUCGGGUUAACUUUUUCCUAUUUUCUUUCUAACAACCUUAAGGUUGUUAGAUGGAAAAUAGAAAAAAGGGAGUGGCAGACGUGAAUUAUUAGAAUUUUUAUUUAAUUGUUAGGAUUAUAUAGAUAAAUUAUUAGAAUUUUUAGGUUGUUAAAAUUAUAUGUGAUUUGUUGUAAUUUUUAUAUGAUUGUUUAGAUUAUAUGAUUUGUUGUUAGGACUUUCUUUGAUUGUUAGGAUUUUAUUCAAUCUUUCGUCCCCUGUGUCGGCUCAUAGAUUUUACUAUUAAGCUAAUUAUAACACUUGAUUGAACUGGAAGAUAAUUUUGAAUAUAAUUAUAGUUAUAAUUAUAGUAAAACAAAAUGAAAGAAUGACACAAAGGAUUUUAGUUUUCUCCGAUAUCUUACUUAUUGAUAUCAUUUAUUCAUCAUCAUAUAUGAAUAAUUUUCCUAGUAAUUCAUAGUAAUAAACCUUCCACUUGCAAAAACAUUUCCACCUACAAUACACAAGUUAACUAAAUAAUCAUGAAAAUUUAUUUAUUCCUGGAGCUCCAAUUGUGUGUUACAAUUUAUCAUGUAUUUAGUAAGAGCUGAAGUUGUUGAAUCAUACAAGUUGUCAAAUCAUUUAUAUAUUAUGCCAAUAUUUAUCUUCAUGCUUAUAAAGUGUAUUUUAAUAAAUUGAAUCUUUUCACGAGAGAAACGGUUUUUUGGUUGCUUGUUUACUCAUUAUUCAGAAACCUAUAAUAGUUGCAUAUGCAUGAACCUAGGGAUAGGGAUGUCAACUGAUCGGAUUCGAAGCGAGUUUUUAAAAAUUCAAAUCCGAACUCGAUUCCAAAUUCGAAAUCCGAACCCGAAUCCAAAUUCGAAUCCGACGAAUUUUAAAAAUUUAUAUCCAAAUCUGAACCCAAUAAAAAAUUUGAAAUCCGAACCCGGGCCCCAACCCGAAAAUCUGAACCGAAAUAAUUAUUGUUCCUUUCAAUAUUUCAAAAAUAUAUUAUAUUAAUCUAAAUUUUUAAAACACAAAUUCAAAUACAACAUCAAACAUUUGGAUUGUUGUCGGGUUCGAGUCGAGUACAAUCAAAAUCCGCAAUGAGAAUUCAGAAUUUGUUCUAAUACCAAGCGCUGGAAAUUCAAUAGUACUGAUAGUUGGGAAUCUGCAAUGAGAACGUCAAAACCAAUUUUUAAAAUAAACGGUAAAUCAAUCACAUUAUUUUUCUUAAUGGAAAUACGAUGGAUCAUUUAUCGUUUUUGAAAUAUAAAAAAAUGAGAGUGAAUGAUUAAUCGUCUUCUAAAUUAUAUUAAAGGCAGUAAAUGACCGACCAUCAUCUUCUACUUAUUUUUCCAAUUGAACAUUGAGUUUGGACAAACUAGAGUUAUUUAAUCAAAUAAUUUUUUUACGAAGUUUUUUAAUGGUUAAAUGAAAAAAAAAAUCCAUUCUUCCCCGCCCAAUGAGUUGUCGCCUUUCUUUUCAUUUUGGUCCCAAAUAUAUAUAUUUUAAUUAUAUUCUUAAUCUUUAGAAUAAUUGCACUUUGAUUCUAAAUCUUUAUUUAUUUUUCGCUUUGGUUCAUUAUUCCUUAAACUAUAUGUGCACUCAUCUCAUUAAGCAAGAAAUUUCAUCAUCCUUAAUAUUGUCCUCGAUGCCUACGACCAGUUCGACCGUGCAUACGACAUUUAAUAUCUCUUUUAGAGCAUCUACUAUUUUUGGUGUCGAACAGAACGUGCCACCGAACUCUCUUCUAAAAACUUAAUUCGGAGGCUACUGGAUCUUGACCCUGAUCUACAUGUGUGGAUUUGGGCUUCAUUAGUGUCAAGUUGUUCUAUUCCGUCAAAAUCAAUUGGAAUUUUACAAACUAUAAAUAUUUCAGACCUAAUAUCAAAAGAAAAGAAAGCUAAGGGAGAAAAUAGAAGAAAAGAUUAAAGGUUAUUAAGUCACUACUCUUUAAAAAAAGGUUAACUCUAGCAAAAACUAUCAUGUUUUCAUUAAACAAUAUUUGCCGUAUUAGCAUUAAUCUUACUGCAUGGCAAUUACCACCAGAGUUUACGCCAUUUUUUUCGAGAUUUUAUUUGAAAAAAUUAGAAAGAUUAGAGACCUAACUAUAAAAAGAAAAUAAAAAGUUAGGGAUUACAAUCUAAAACUGGGUAAUGGUUGGGAACCAAAGGUGAAACCAACCAAGCAUAGAUGUUUCUUCAAGCAUGAAUUAUUUGCAAACUAGUGCCAAAUUAAUUCUUAUAAUAUUUACUAUUCAAUAUGCAAGGAUCCAAUUAAAAGGGAAAACUUCAAAUAACCCCUAUGGUUUCGCAUUUUCUCACUUUAGUAUCCUGUGGUUUAAGGUGUAUCAAGCUAGUAUCCUGUGGUUUCACACUUUUUCACUUUAGUACCAUGUAGUUUAAAGUGUAUCAAGUUAGUACCCUGUGAUUUCAUUUUUGUAUCAAGUUAGUACCAUGUGGUUUCAUUUUUCUCUUUUUAUUAUUCAUUUCGAGGUAUUUUUACAGGGUAUAAAGUAAGAAAGUACGAAACCACAGGGUACUAGCUUGAUACACUUUAAACCAUAGGGUACUAAAGUGAGAAAGUGCGAAACCGCAGUGUACUAACUUGAUACACUUUAAACCAUAGGGUACUAAAGUGAGAAAGUGAGAAACCACAAGGGUGUAUUUGAAGUUUUCCCUAAUUAAAAAGAUAAGCUUCAGUUGCCCUCUCUUGUUCAACUAAUAUGAUGCCCCAACUUUCCAGAGGGUCAUCAAUUCUUGGACUACUUCCGUCCUAACACGCUUAACUCUCUUAAUCACCACCCAAAAUGCUUAAGUUGGGUUAAGAGUUUUAACCCUUUUCCGGCUGGUAAUUGGUUUUGAUACCAACUGUGACACCCUAACUUUCCAAAGGGUCACCUAUCCUAGGAUUACUCCUGUCCUAGCACGCCUAACUCUCUUAACCUCUUGGGUCUAGCCACCAUCCAAAAUGUUUAAGUCGUAUUAAGAGUUUUAAUCCUACUAUAUCUUAUAUAUAAAACUAUUCGGGGUCUCACAGCUCACUUUUUACUUUUGGCACUAUGAUUCAAAAAAAUUAUUAUUAAUUAUCCCGUGUUUCUAUUUAUACUCCACUACAAGAUAUUAGUAAAUACGAUCCCAAAGUAAUAUAUUUUACCAACUACAGAUAACAAAUUGUAGAUUAUAAAAAGUAUAAAAACUAUAUGAUUUUUUGGUUAAUUUACUGUAAUAUGCGAACUUUUGAUACUUGUGUAGGUGUGAGAAAGAGGGUGGAAAUGAGAUUAAACCGUUUUGGCGCGAAAUUGACGCGAAAACGGAUAAAUUGGGCCAAUAUUUCAUUAUGAGGGACCAUAUUGCAAAUAGCAAAAUUACUGGAUUAAGUUGCAAAAUGGCUUGAUCUUAUCCUCUCUCCCUCUCUCUCUCCCUUUGAAGCUGCCAGAAAACAAGAGAAAAAGAAAGAGAGAAGAAGAAGAAGAAGAAGAAGAAGAUGAAGAUGAAGAUGAAUUGGAGGUAAGGUAAAAAUUUCUAUACUUCUCUCUCCCUUCCCUUCUUCUUCCCUUUCUUUUCCCUUCCUUUCUCUCUUCCCCUUUCCUUCUUCCUUUCCUUUCUCCCUGUUCUUCCCCUGCUGCUGCUGGUGCAGUUUUGCAGCCUUGCUGCUGCUGCGAGGUACUGUAGCAGCAGCAGCAGAUUGCUGCUGCAGGCUGCCCAGCAGCAGCAGCAAAUUGUUGCUACUGCAGGGGCAGCAAGAAAGAAAGAAAGAAAAGAAAAAGAGAAGAGGAAAAGAAGAAAUGAAAGGAAGAGGAAGAAUGAAAAAGAGAAAUCGAGAGAUAGAGAGAGAGAGAGAUGGAAAGAAAAGAAUAGAUAGAAUAACAUGAAUGAAGUGGAUGUAGAAAUUGGAUCGAGUGAUGCAAUUGGCGUAAUUCGUACCUCUAAUCUCCAAUUGAUGCACGCAGGGUGUUCGAGAGUGUGAAUUAGUGUGAUACACAUUUCCGAUGAGGCGCAAUUUAAGUAAUUUCGGGAAAUCGUGCGAAGGGUCGCGUGUAACCUUUCUUUUAUCGGAGUCGACAUAGCGAGUCGAGGUGGGUUUCGAGUCGUCGAAAAUGGCGAAUUUCCCCCUAUGUCUAUUUUGGUAGAAGCUAUAUAAUAUUUGAAUUUGCACAUCUAGUUUACCUGUUUAUUGAUCCUCAGACCGUGAAAAAUUGAAGCAUGAUAGAGAUUUAGCAUUGACAUCUGAUUAUGAGCAGAAGUAUGUAUAUGCAUAUGCGUAUGAUGAUUUAUACUUGAGCAUUGUGUUGAAUAGACGUAGCUCAUGUCCCUGUUUGUGGUUCUCCGUUCAUGACUUUGUUUAUUGAAAGAGAUUAUUGAAAGAGAUGCUAUUAGCAUGAAGUUGAGUUUAUAUGCAAAGAUGAGAACUAAUGUAGGUCACACUUCUUUCCUCGCCAUGAUAUAGUAAUUGUCAGCAAUAUUUAGAUCCGGUAACGUAUCGACUUGCUCUACCGCCGAACCUAUCGGGCGUGCACAACGUCUUUCAUGUAUCGGUCCUUCGAAGGUACAUUCAUGAUCCAGCUCACGUUUUGGAGACUAUACCAGUGGAACUGCGUGAGGAUUUGAGCUUUGAGGAGCAAUCAGUGAAGAUUUUGGCUCGCGAGGUGAAGAAGCUGCGGAAGCGGGAUAUUCCAUACGUGAAGGUACUUUGGAGCAACCACGGGGAGCGAGAGGCCACGUGGGAGCUGGAGAGCGCUUUGCAGGAGCGCUAUCCCCAUCUUUUUCAGAUGGAGUCUUGAGGUAUGCUUUUGCUUUUGAGUUUCACGGACGAAACUCCUUUUUAGGAGGGGUGAAUGUGACGCACUGGACUUCGCAAAUUGUGGGGUUCGAGUGAUUGAUUGUGUUCUGAACUUUUCUAGACUUUCUGGUGGGUCGUUGACAGUGUUCGGACCUAUGGUUCGAGUCCCGAGAAUUGUGGUUUAAAGCUGUGUACCAAAAUCCAAAAAGUUGGAUUUUUGGUCAGCUCUCGGGAAGCCUGCAGCAGGCUGUGUACCGGUACAGGCUUGGUGGCUGUACCGGUACAGGGUUGAUGGCUGUACCGAUACGGGACCGCGUACCGGUACACAGACGAUUUUGAGGCAAACCCGAGGCUCGGGUUUGGCCAUUUCGUGGGUUGUGUACCGGUACACAAACCCGUGUACCGGUACGCAGUGCAGAUUUUGGCUGUUUUGUGGACGGGUGUUUUUGCAAUUGUUGCAACCUCUGUUUAAGCACACCCCAGCCCCUUGGGGGCUGUUUUGAGUCCUAGAACAGUGGAGAGCAAGGUAAGAGGAGUUCCUUUGAUUUCUUCUCCAUUUUUGUUGGAUUUUGGUUGAUUUUGAUCCCUCCUCUCUUCUCUACCUUGCUUUUUGUUGGGUUACCACCAUUGUUGAAGGCUUGGAGCUUGGAGAGGAGCUUGUUUAAGAGGUGAUCUUCAACUCCACUUGGCUUGUGACUUGGUUUUGAGCUUCUUGUGAGGUUAGUAAGCCUAAUCUUUUCUUUGGAUUAAGUUUCGGUAGCUUCUACUAGAUCAAACCCUAGAUUUGGCAUAUUAGGGCUAAAAAUGGGGAUUUUUGAUUUGAGGGCUUUGGAACCAAAUUGAUGGGUUUAGAACCUUUGUUUAGGUUAGAUUGGAAGGACUCUAGCUCCCAUUUGGAGAUCGAGAGAGCUUCCUUCGUAAUCGGUGAGUUUUCUUCAACCCUAGCCCUAAAUGAUUAAUGAUUGAGCUUAGCGUCAUUCGUUUCGAUUGGGUGACACUUAUUUUCAUACCUCUAGGAUACUAGGAGGCUAGAGGACACCAUCGUCGGAGCAAACGAAGGGUUUCGUUUACCGUUGGUGGGUUUGACUUUAUGAAAAUGGGGCGAAAUGGCCCCUAUGCUUUCUAAACUUUUCGUAAAUUAUUUUUGAAUGCAAAUUCAUGCUAAACAUGAAUUAUGUGAAUUUUAGAACACUUAAAAUGCAUGCAUUAUUUAUCAUAAAAUUUACACUCUAUAUAGUAGAGCUAUAUGUGUAGAUUGCAUUCAUUGUGGAUGGUGUUUGGUUUCGCAAGUGAGAACAUGUCUCCAUGCUAGAAUUGAGUGAAAUUGUGCAUCAUGAACAUAUUAAUACCAUGCUUGGACUCGUUGAACAAAAGUGUCAUAAAGGGCACUUGGAAUUAGUAAACUGUGAAACUGCAAUAUAGAGACAAAUUGAUAGGCCAUUAUACAUCUUCUAUAUUCCAUGUUAGAGACAUGAUGAUAUAGAAAUAGGCCAUUGAGACACUUGAUAUAUUCCAUAUUUUUAGACAUGAGGACUUGGUACUUGAGACAGAUCAUUGCUUGCUUGCCAUUGUGCUCAUUCGCACAUACUUGUGAGGGUCGCUCCCUACAAGCCGGCACUCCGGAGAUAGCCAUCGCGACAUCUGCUCGCCCGUGCGGGAUUGGGCGCCGAAGUGGAUUGCCGUGGGGGAGGCUCAUCCCUAGAGUGGGGAUGUUGACUACCACGGGGCCAUUAGGCACGGCGCAGGCCAGACAGCCUUCGAGUGGGUCUUGUGAUUGGGACUUAGUGACAGAACAUGCUAUGUGAACUUUAAAACUAUUAAAGUGGACUUGAACUAGAAUAGUAAACAAUGACAUCUUUACUAUUUUUGCAUUGAGGACAUCGGAUUGGUUGCAUUUCUAUGCUUAUCCAUGUCAUACACAUUCAUGCACAUUCAUGUUAUCGUUGCUUUAUUACUUAUGCAAAUCAAGCUAAGUAGAGACUUUAUGUUAUAGUAAGUUACAUUUUUAUUUACCUUUCGUCUUACUACAUUGUUAGUCACUGACCUCUUUUUGUAGCUUUGGGCCUUGUGGUGCAUUCACUGAAGUCAGUAAUUGCCCACUGGGAACUAUUUUUAAUAGUUCUCACGCCCCUGUUUUAUGGUUUACUUUUCAGAGCCUUCGGCACCGGCGGAGGCACGGGAUCGCGGCAAGGGGAUCGCUUAGCUAGCUAGCGAGGAGCGGUUCUUUGCCUAGGUGGUUUGCUCUUUCUUUUUGUAGUUGGGAGAGUGAGAGAUUUUGUAUCCAUGUGUAGAGACCACCUAUGUACCUACUUUUAGCACUUGUAUUUGGGAUUUCCUAUUGUAUUUACUUUAUGUCUUAUUUAGUGAAUUUACAGUUUUAUCCUUAUUUCUUGUUGUAGCAUUUAGACAUUUAUUACGCUCUGAUACACCUAGAUGUCUUUUAUUAUGGCUUUAUUAUUGUUGUUUUUAGACGCCUUAUAUGUUGUAGACAUAUGGCGGGUCUGGGCACGCGCCGGGCGGGCUUCCGCUGGGUCCCGGGGCGUGACAGAUUAAUUUGGUAUCAGAGCCUAGGGUUGAGUCUUAGGGGACCUAGCAAAUCUUAGGCCGGUUGGACUAUAGGAAAUAGGCUCGUGAGAGACGAGGUCUAUUUGAUUUGUAAGCGAAAGUAUCUUGAUUGGGUAUCUUUGAUAACUCUUGAAUAUGGAGUUAAAUUGAAGUGUAUAGCUCCUAACUCCGCGGAGGGGUACGUUGGCGGCCGACAACAUAACAUCGGGAGUUAGUGGUGAGGAACACUUCCUUACUUUCACAUGAUUUGGGUAUUGUCUUUUGAGCGAGGAUGCGUUCGCGUGGGUUUUACUAACUUACGCUUUUAUGAUAUUGUAGUGACGAUGCCGAUUACUCGCUCCCAAUCUGCCGGGGCGGACAAUGCGGCAAACCUUGAGGAGGUCGAGACCUCCGCUACCUCCGGAUCCAGCGAGGUCCGCGAGUUGAGGGGCCAGUUUGCGGCCCUCACUGAUUUAGUCACUCAGCAGGCGGAGGCGGCCCAACAGCAGACCGAGGCGGCGCGCCGACAGGAGGCGCGGAUGAAGCGUUUGGAGGACCUACUACUGCAGCAGACAGCGGCUUCUAGGGAGACUCAGGCCCCUACACCGCCAGCACUAGUUGUGGACGUUGCACCGAGAACGCCGUCCCCCGCGCCCAGUUCUUCGCGUGCGCGCCUGUGGCCGCACCCCAGGAGGAGGUCUUGGCAGCACCACCUGUGCAGAGGCCCCCAGUUGGAGCAGCUUUCCCUACUUUGGUUGAGGGGGCGGAGUGAGAUAGACUGAUGGAGCGCCUCAAUAAGUUCAGGAGGUGCAGCCCCCGAGUCUUCGACGGCGAGAAGGUCGACCACUGGAUCGUGGAGAAGUGGUUGAUGCAUAUGGAGAAGCUCUUCCGCGACACCUUCGUGGAGGAGAGGGAUCGAGUUUGGCUCGCCAUCACCACUUGAUCGAGCCUAACCGCUAGUGGUUGGAUCUCCAGGAGAACCCCAGCACGGACUUGGCAGCUAUCACUUGGACGAGGUUCAAGGAGCUUCUUUUGGCGCACUACUUUCCGACCAGCGUCAAGAGGAAGAUGGAGCAGAAUUUGCGCAGUUUGCUCCAGGGUGACAGGACCGUAGCCGAGUACGAGAGGGAGUUUUCUCGGCUUCUGCAUUGCGUGCCCUUCGUCGUGCGUGACGACGAGGACAAGGCCCGCAUCUUCGAGCGAGGAUUGAGACCGUCUAUCUUCCGGUUUGUGCAAUCAUCUAACCUCCAAACCUACCGGGAGGUGGUGGAUCGCGCGCUCAUUAUGGAGAGCGGCACGGCGGAUUUCUAGGAGCAACGAGAGACUAGGGACAAAGGGAAGGCCAAGAGGCCUGCGGCUGAGGGUGCGAGCCAGACGCACUCUAGGAGGCCGCCGAAACAUUCGAGGAGCCAGCAGCGUGGGCGCAGCUCAGCAGCCCAGCGAGGAGGUUAUGACCGACGUCGGCCCUCCCCGUGUGUGAUCUGUGGUGGUCCUCAUCACCCACCGCAGUGUCCACAACGGGCGGGCAGGUGCUUCCAGUGUGGCCAGGAGGGCCACAUGCGGACUGAGUGCCCGAGAGGUUCUUCACCGGCACCAUCGACUGCAUCGGCACCGGCUUUACCAGCCGCCAGCCAGGGGACUCCGUCAGCGCAGUAUCAGCUUGGGCAGCCACCCGUCCAGCGCCAGAGCGAGGGAUCUCGACAGGCCCCGAGUGGGCGCAUAUACGCCGCUCAGACUGCGGAGGCGGCUGCAGUCGAGGAUGUGGUUGCAGGUAUUAUUUUACUUGAUGGCAUUAGAGUUCGUGCUUUAUUUGAUACCGGUGCAUCGUAUUCAUUUAUCGAUAGGCUGUUUGCCGAGUUGCAUGGCAUUCAAUUGGUUCCUUUGUUGCAUACGAGACAUGUUGUUGUCCUCGACCACGUUUUGGAUAUUAGAGAGUAUAACCCCAGUUGCCCUGUUCGGGUAGGAGAAUGGAUCAUGCCCGUGGAUUUGCUAGCCUUGCGCAAGCUGGGGGACUUUGACGUGGUCUUGGGCAUGGAUUGGUUGACCAAGUACUAUACCACGAUUGAUUGUAAGAAUCGCACGGUUACUUUUAGAGAACCGGGGCAAACCGAGGUGGUAUUUUGUGGAUGCCGGAGUUCGCUGUUUGCGACGACGAUCAGCUCGUCUCGAGCUAGGCAGCUGAUCAGCAGAGGUUGCGUAGCCUAUUUGGCUAGUGUUGUGUUGAGGGGCGAGGAUGAUACCCUUAGGAUUGAGGAUAUUCCGGUGGUGCGAGAGUUUCAGGAUGUGUUUCCAGCUGAGCUACCGGGUAUGCCUCCUGAUAGGGAGAUUGAGUUUGUGGUAGAUCUCGUCCCUGGGACUACCCCAAUCUCAAUGGCACCCUAUAGGAUAGCACCGGCGGAGCUGAAGGAGCUGAGAGCAUAGCUACAGGAUUUGCUGGACAAGGGCUUUAUUCGCCCGAGCGUCUCGUCUUGGGGAGCACCAGUUUUGUUCGUCAAGAAGAAGGACGAAUCGCUUCGCCUUUGUGUGGAUUAUCGUGAACUCAAUAAAGUCACGAUUAAGAACAAAUAUCCGUUGCCGAGGAUCGACGACUUGUUUAAUCAGCUUCAGGGAUCGUGUGUGUAUUCCAAGAUAGACUUACAGUCUGGAUACCACCAAUUGAAGAUUAAACUCGAGGAUGUAUCGAAGACGGCUUUUAGAACACGGUAUGGACAUUACGAGUUCACAGUUAUGCCGUUCGGGCUUACUAAUGCCCCGGCAGCUUUUAUGGAUCUAAUGAACCGUGUUUUCAAGCCUUAUCUAGACAGGUUCGUUGUGGUGUUCAUCGACGACAUUUUGGUCUACUCUCGAAGUGAUGCAGAUCACGAGGAGCAUUUGAGAAUUGUACUCCAAGUACUUCGGGAAAAGGAGCUUUAUGCCAAGUUGAAGAAAUGUGAAUUUUGGCUUCGAGAGGUAGCCUUCCUUGGACACUUGAUUUCAGGAUCAGGUAUAGCAGUGGAUCCCAAGAAGAUCGAAGCAAUCAAGGAUUGGCCGAGACCGACGAGCGUCACGGAGAUACGGAGCUUCCUUGGAUUGGCCGGUUACUACCGGAGAUUUGUAGAGGGGUUUGCUAAACUGUCUACUCCCCUCACGAGGCUCACACAUAAAGGAGUCAAGUUCAUUUGGAAUGAUGCGUGCGAGCGAAGCUUCCAAGAGUUGAAGUAGAGAUUGACGACCGCCCCGAUCUUGACCCUACCAGUAGCUGGAGCAGGGUAUGUGGUUUAUAGUGAUACUUCACUUAUUGGAUUGGGCUGUGUAUUGAUGCAGGAUGGCAAGGUGAUAGCGUAUGCUUCUCUCCAACUAAAAGAAUAUAAAAAGAACUACCCGACGCAUGAUUUGGAGUUGGCAGCCGUGGUGUUCGUGUUGAAGCUAUGGCGCCACUAUUUUUAUGGCGAGCGGUGUGAGGUGUACACGGAUCACAAGAGCUUAAAGUACCUGUUUACUCAGAGGAAGUUGAACUUGAGGCAGCGCAGAUGGUUGGAGCUACUCAAGGAUUAUGAUCUGACGAUCCUUUACCACCCGGGCAAGGCUAACGUGGUGGCGGAUGCGCUAAGUAGGAAAUCGAUGAAAAACUUAGCGUUGCAUGUUGUGACUCAACCGCAGUUGAUUGAGCAGAUAAAGCGGUUGGAGUUGGAGAUAGUGACUCCUGACAAACCCUUGAGAUUGAUGACCUUGGUGGUGCAACCUACUCUUUUGGAUAGAAUCAAAGAGAAGCAAGUUUCCGAUUUGGACUUGCAAAGGAUUCGAGGUAAAAUGGUUGAUGGAUGCACCGGCGACUUCCUUUUGGAUGAUCUGGGAUUGAUGCGUUUUCGUGGGCGGAUUUGUGUACUCGCGGAUUCGGGGAUUAAAGAAGACAUUCUUCAAGAAGCGCACCGGGCGCCCUAUGCUAUACAUCCUGGUGGCAUCAAGAUGUAUAAGGACUUAAAGUUGCUCUAUUGGUGGCCCGGGAUGAAAAAGGAUGUUGGCGAGUUCGUUGUUAGAUAUUUAACUUGCCAACAAGUGAAAGCGGAGCACCGAGUUCUCGCAGGGAAGCUUCAGAGUUUACCUAUUCCUGUGUGAAAGUGGGAGAAUAUCACCAUGGACUUCGUGACAGGAUUGUCUCGCUCACAGGCUGGGCAUGAUGCUAUUUGGGUGAUCGUGGAUAGGUUAACGAAGUCGGCGCACUUCGUGCCUGUUCAUACGACUUGGACCGGAGAGAAGCUCGCACAAGUGUACCUUGAUGAGAUUGUGCGACUUCAUGAAGUGCCUACAUCGAUUGUAUCUGAUCGCGACACGCGUUUUGUGUCUCACUUUUGGAGAACUCUGCAGGACGCCUUAGGCACCCGAUUGGAUUUCAGUACAGCAUGCCACCUGCAGAGUGAUGGACAGUCGGAGCGCACUAUACAGGCCUUAGAGGAUAUGCUCCGGGCAUGUGUGAUAGACUUCUAGGGAGGAUGGUCGCAGCAUCUACCUAUGGCGGAGUUUGCUUAUAACAACAGUUAUCAAGCAAGCAUCAAGAUGGCGCCCUUCGAAGCACUUUAUGGACGGAAGUGUAGAUCGCCGCUUCAUUGGAGUGAAGUUGGCGAGAGACUGGCUUUAGGCCCUGAUGUGCUCCAGGAAGCUGAGGACAAUGUUCGCAUUGCUCGUGAGCGACUUGUGACGGCGCAGAGUAGACAAAGGAGCUACGCCGACCGACGACGGCGAGACUUGGAGUUCCAUGUAGAAGACCAUGUUUUCUUGAAGGUCUUGCCGACUAGAGGAAUCAAGAGAUUCGGGAUUCGGGAAAAGUUGAGCCCCCGUUUUAUUGGACCGUAUGAGGUUUUGGAGCGUGUAGGUCCGGUAGCGUAUCGACUUGCUCUACCGCCGAACCUAUCGGGCGUACACAACGUCUUUCAUGUAUCGGUCCUUCGAAGGUAUAUUCAUGAUCCAGCUCACGUUUUGGAGACUAUACCAGUGGAACUGCGUGAGGAUUUGAGCUUUGAGGAGCAACCAGUGAAGAUUUUGGCUCGCGAGGUGAAGAAGCUGCAGAAGCGGGAUAUUCCAUAUGUGAAGGUACUUUGGAGCAACCACGGGGAGCGAGAGGCCACGUGGGAGCUGGAGAGCGCUUUGCAGGAGCGCUAUCCCCAUCUUUUUCAGAUGGAGCCUUAAGGUAUGCUUUUUCUUUUGAGUUUCGCGGACGAAACUCCUUUUUAGGAGGGGUGAAUGUGACGCACUGGACCUCGCAAAUUGUGGGGUUCGAGUGAUUGAUUGUGUUCUGAACUUUUCCAGACUUUCUGGUGGGUCGUUGACAGUGUUCGGACCUAUGGUUCGAGUCCCGAGAAUUGUGGUUUAAAGCUGUGUACCAAAAUCCAAAAAGUUAGAUUUUUGGUCAGCUCUCGGGAAGCCUGCAGCAGGCUGUGUACCGAUACGGGCUUGGUGGCUGUACCGGUACAGGGUUGAUGGCUGUACCGGUACGGGACCGCGUACCGGUACACAGACGAUUUUGAGGCAAACCCGAGGCUCGGGUUUGGCCAUUUCGUGGGUUGUGUACCGGUACACAAACCCGUAUACCGGUACGCAGUGCAGAUUUUGGCCGUUUCGUGGACGGGUGUUUUUACAAUUGUUGUAACCUCUAUUUAAGCACACCCCAGCCCCUUGGGGGCUGUUUUGAGCCCUAGAACAGUGGAGAGCAAGGUAAGAGGAGUUCCUUUGAUUUCUUCGCCAUUUUUGUUGGAUUUUGGCUGGUUUUGAUCCCUCCUCUCUUCUCCACCUUGCUUUUUGUUGGGUUACCACCAUUGUUGAAGGCUUGGAACUUAGAGAGGAGCUUGUUUGAGAGGAGAUCUUCAACUCCACUUGGCUUGGGACUUGGUUUUCAGUUUCUUGUGAGGUUAGUAAGCCUAAUCUUUCCUUUGGAUUAAGUUUGGUAGCUUCUACUAGAUCAAACCUCAGAUUUGACAUAUUAGGGCUAAAAAUAGAGAUUUUUUAUUUGAGGGCUUUGGAACCAAAUUGAUGGGUUUAGAACCUUUGUUUAGGUUAGAUUGGAAGGACUCUAGUUCCCAUUUGGAGAUCGAGAGAGCUUCCUUCGCAAUCGGUGAGUUUUCUUCAACCCUAGCCCUAAAUGGUUAAUGAUUGAGCUUAGCGUCAUUCGUUUCGAUUGGGUGACACUUGUUUUCAUACCUCUAGGAUACUAGGAGGCUAGAGGACACCCUCGUCGGAGCAAAUGAAGGGUUUCGUUUACCGUUGGUGGGUUUGACUUCAUGAAAAUGGGGCGAAAUGGCCCCUAUGCUUUCUAAACUUUUCGUAAAGUAUUUUUGAAUGCAAAUUCAUGCUAAACAUGAUUUAUGUGAAUUUUAGAACACUUAAAAUGCAUACAUUAUGUAUCAUAAAAUUUACACUCUAUAUAGUGGAGCUAUAUGUGUAGAUUGCAUGCAUUGUAGAUUGUGUUUCGUUUCGCAAGUGAGAACAUGUCUCCAUACUAGAAUUGAGUGAAAUUGUGCAUCAUAAACAUAUUAAUACCAUGCUUGGACUCGUUGAACAAAAGUGUCAUAAAGGGGCACUUAAAAUUAGUAAACUGUGAAACUGCAACAUAGAGACAAAUUGAUAGGCCAUUAUACAUCUGCUAUAUUCCAUGUUAGAGACAUGAUGACAUAGAGAUAGGCCAUUGAGACACUUGAUAUAUUUCAUAUUUUUAGACAUGAGGACUUGGUACUUGAGACAGAUCAUUGCUUACUUGCCAUUGUGCUCAUUCGCACAUGCUUGUGAGGGUCGCUCCCUACAAGCCGGCACUCCGGAGAUAGCCAUCGCGACAUAUGCUCGCCCGUGCGGGAUUGGACGCCGAAGUGGAUUGCCGUGGGGGAGGCUCAUCCCUAGAGUGGGGAUGUUGACUACCACGGGGCCAUUAGGCACGGCGCAGGCCAGACAACCUUCGGGUGGGUCUUGUGAUUGAGACUUAGUGACAGAACAUGCUAUGUGAACUUUAAAACUAUUAAAGUGGACUUGGACUAGAAUAGUAAACAAUGACAUCUUUACUAUUUUUGCAUUGAGGACAUCGGAUUGGUUGCAUUUCUAUGCUUAUCCAUGUCAUACACAUCCAUGCACAUUCAUGUUAUCGUUGCUUUAUUACUUAUGCAAAUGAAGCUAAGUAGAGACUUUAUGUUAUAGUAAUUUACAUUUUUAUUUACCUUUCGCCUUACUAUAUUGUUAGUCACUGACCUCUUUUUGUAGCUUUUGGGCUUUGUGGCGCAGUUCACUGAAGUCAGUAAUUGCCCACUGGGAACGAUUUUUAAUAGUUCUCACGCCCUCUUAUUCGUUUCUUUCAGAGCCUUCUGCACCGGCGGAGGCACGGGAUCGCGGCAAGGGGAUCGCAUAGCUAGCUAGCGAGGAGCGAUUCUUUGCCUAGGUGGUCUACUCUUUCUUUUUGUAGUUGAGAGAGAGUGAGAGAUUUUGUAUCCAUGUAUAGAGACCACCUGUGUAUCUACUUAUAACACUUGUGUUUGGAAUUUUCUUUGUAUUACUUUAUGCUCUUAUUAGUGGAUUCCAGCUUUAUAUUUCUUUCCUAUUGUAGAACUUAGUAUUAUAUCAUACUCUGAUACUCCUAGAUGUCUUUUAUUAUUGUUUUAUUUAUCCUUGUUUUAGACGCCUUAUAUGUUUUAGACGUAUGGCGGGUCUGGGCACGUGCCGGGCGGGCUUCCGCUGGGUCCCGGGGCGUGACAAUAGUGGGCACCUUCGUUCGGCGAAACGAAGGGUUGCGGGAGUCACGGUGGGUUUGACUUCAUGAAACAGGAAAGAAAUGCCUCCUAUGUGUUCUAUAUUGGUUGUAUCUUCAAUAUAUUGUAAAACUUGCUUUAAUUUUUGAUAUUCUGUUGUGAUUUAUCUGGUAUUGAUAAUUUAUUGAGAUUCUGUUGGUACUGAUGUGUAUAUUGUUAAUGCUGAAUUCUUUGUAUUGUUGGAUUAACUUUGUUGUUGCGUUGUGAUAUUGUAUUGUACUGUUGUGCUGACCUCGUUGUGAAGUCGUAUUGUUGAUUGAUCUGAUGUUGUAUUGUACUGGGUAAGGGUUUGUAGUUGUAUUGGACACGAUGAAUGGUUCACCGUGUCUAAACACGGUGAACCAUUCACCGUGUCCAAUAGAACUACCUGUAAUUUAGCCACUUUUGGCUAAGGGCUAGGUAUUUGUAUUUGACAUGGUGAACUAUUCACCGUAUUUAGACACGGUGAACCAUUUACCGUGACCAAUGUGGUAUACGCUUACUGGUUUGGGGACGUAUAAUACAAUGGACACGGUAAACCAUUCACCGUGUUUGAACAUGGUGAAUGGUUCACCGUGUUCAACUUAAACACCUGGCCCCAGCCCUACUCGCGUGGUACUUACGUGGCGCCUACGUGGCAGGGGCAGAAUCAUUUUUGCAAUUUCAAAUUUGAUAGGGCUAUUUUUAAAAUAAAAAUUUCUCAGGAGGUUAUUUGCAAAAAAAAGCCCGUUUAAUAAGGUAGGGAUAUAAUAGAUAUUUUAAUUAGAUUUUAAUUCUGGUAUAUAUUUAACUCAUGUUUAAUCUCACUUAACUUAACAAGGAUAAUUGCAGGAGUAUUUUAUUUUAUAAUAACGAUAGAAUAUAUAUAGAAGCAAGGGGUAUUGCAGAAAGAAAUAAGAUCCGAAACUAGGGAUGCAAACGGAUCUGGGUUGGUGGAGCUCCGGCCCCGAUCCGCCCCGAAUGGGGCACUAAACGGGAGGAAAUAAACGGAUUCGGGACAGGAAACGGGGCAAUUUUUAUGAUCCGAGGCGGAUUCGGGGCAGGAAACGGGAAAAUUUUUGAUCCGCCCCGAAUCCCCUCCGAAUCUGCCACGAAAACUAUUUCUAUAUUUUUUUAAAAUACCCUUAAAAAAUGAUAUAUUUACAAAAAAAAACCCCAACUAUAUUAGCUCUCGUAGUCUCAUUUUGCAAACUUUGAAUUUUAUUGCGAAUUGUAAUUGAUAUUUUUGAUUUUUAUAGUUGAUAUUGUUAUUUAUAUAUAACUUGAUAAUAUUAUUAAUUAAUAUUAAAAAUUUUGUUGAUUUAUAUUUAUAAAAUGUUAAUAAUAUUAAAAUUUGUAAAACAAAUACUAUUUGGCGGGGCGAAUUCGGGGUGCCGGCGGGAGGCGGAUUAUGAGGUGGGGCGGAUCAUGGGAUAACUAUUUUCAGUCACGAAUUCCGGACAGGAGGCGAGACGGACUUUUCGUAGUCGGGCGGGGCUCCCAGCCCAAGAUCCGCCCCGUUUGCAUCCCUGGACCAAAACCUUUUUCAAUCAACAAUCCCUGUUCGGGAUUCCUCGUUCUAGGGUUUCACUCGUCUCUACGGCUGUCCGCCCGGCAGACUCCCCCAUCGAAACCCGUCUCUACGGCGGACGCCCUCAAGUAGGGCCCGCCGAUCUCUCGCUCUCCCUCCUCUCCCUCAGCCGCGCCCAUCAAAGCCAUCAACGCCGCUGCCGCCUCGCGUCGAAGUCGUCGGCGUCGACUCCCUGGUCGCUUUCUGGUUGCCGCUUUGAACCGGUUGAGAAGCGGAACCAAAAAACCGUCGCACGUCGGAACCGUUUCCGGGACCGGUUCUGAUUUGUCCGCGUCGUCGGAUCGGUUUCAUCCCCACGAGUACUAGUAGCGGCCAUUAUUUCGUAUAUCCGAACUGAAGAACUCGAUCGACGAUCAGAGGCAUCGACGGCUCCAACGCUGAUCCCACACGUCAUGGACGGGAUGAACGUCCACGACGAGGAUCCAUCGGAGGUAUCUAUCUAUCUAUCUAUCUAUGCAUUUGUCUAUCCAUCCACCCGUCUCUCCAAUCCCGGUCGCUUGCUCUCUUUAGACAACUGCGCCUUAGAUAGUUCGUACCCUGUUGGAGGAAGGGGAACUCUAGGAUUUUUGUUGGUCCUACUUUCCUGCGCAGGACGUGGAGGCGAGGACGAAGCGGCCCAAGCUGAGCGACGAGGAGGAGAUGGUUCCCGCCGACUCUGGAGGAGGUACUGCAGGUUGUUCUUUCCCAUGUCACUCUUUCCUUCCUUCUCUGUGCAUUAUCGCCGGUUUUAUUGAUCUAUUUUGUGCCAUCAUAUGGCUUGCCGGUACGUGUCAUCACAUCUGACGUGUGGCUUCUCUAAAGCUUUGUUAGUGGCUCUCCGUCCUCUUUGGUUUGAGAAUGAGUACCACAAUCUUCGCCUAUUGUCCGCCAUCGUAAUUUUCAUACAAACCGAAGAACUUGCAUUAUUCCAGUGUUAGAGGGCAGGGGAGCUAAUUUUCAUACAAACCGAAGAACUUGCAUUAUUCCAGUGUUAGAGGGCAGGGGAGCUAAAAGUAAGAUGCAGAUCAGUACUGUCUUGUCCGGAUGAUCAAAAUAACCAUAUUGUCUGCUCUCCCCUUGCAUCUUUAUACUAAUUUCCCAUGGUGUUACAAUAGCAAGACUCAACCUACCGGUGCCGUUUUCCUAAAGCGUGCACCUAUCUCUCUGCCUAUGACUUUGUUGUCCGUUUUGGUCCAAAACCAGCUAGCUGAUCUUGGCUGCAGCCUGCAGCAUCCAAAAGGUCGCCAAAAUGUUUUGCCAAACUCUCCAUUGGAAGGUGCUCCUAAAGCAAGCGCCGAUACCCGAUAGAAGCUAGCUCAACCGGGCCAGGAUGCCACAUUGCAAUCUUUCUAACACGGUCUCAGUAUUGGAUAGUGUGUCCUUUGCCGACUGUUGUAAUCUUUAACUAUAUAAUUUGACAGUUCCUACAAAUCAUACGUGGCAUGCCUCCCUAUUCUCCAUUCCACGUGGCAAAAAAGCUCUCACCCCACUUCUGCUGUGGGCCCUCUCUCUCUCUCUCUCUUCCAUAUUCUCUUACUCUCUCUCUCUUCCUCCACUCUCUCUCUCUCUUUUCUCCUAAUCUCUCUCUCCUCUCCUCGCCUGCACCUGGCGCACUCUCUCUCUUCCCUCCUUCCCAUCUGGCGCUGCCCCUCUCCCUCUCUACGACCCUCUCUCUCUCUUCCCCCCUGCUCCUAGCUAAGCCUCUCUCUCUUUCCCCCUCUCCUCGAGCUGGUGCUCUUCCUCUCCCCCUCUCCUCCACCCGAUCCUCUAUCAGCGGCGGCAUGCGCGGGCCAUAUUUUGAUGUUGGUCGAGUCACGCCGCGGGCACUUGAGCGCCGGCUCUAGCUGCGGAAUCUUUGCGAGACGAGCGCAGUUUGCCGUCGAGCCAGGCCGGGCAGGGUUGCCGGUUUUUCCAAUCCUCCGACCGCGCCCGACCGCGCCCGACCGCAUCUUGGCGCCCGAUUCGGCUCGCCAUGUCAUCACCCGCCCUUCACGCGCGCGACAUCCCCCGCCCUUCACGCGCGCGACAUCCUCCGCCCGAUCCUCCUCCUUAAAUCGCGCCUUAGCUCUCCCCCUCUCCCCCGCGCCGGCCCCGCCUCCUCUCCUCUUCCCCGCCUCGCGACCAAAACCCUAAUCGCCACUCUCCGCCGCCAUGGGCUCCGUCUCCGCCGCCGCGGAGGCGCUCCCGCUGCUCCGAUACCCCGCCGCUCGCCGUGACGACUCCGUCGUCGACGACUACCACGGCGUCCGCGUCGCGGACCCCUACCGAUGGUGGGAUGCUACGUAGCCCUUCCCCUCUUCCGUAUCGCCUGCGAGAAGCGCUUUCGCUUCUAGGGUUUUGAUUUCGGGCGCUUUGGAACGCAGGUUGGAGGAUCCGGACGCGGAGGAGGUGAAGGAGUUCGUGGAGAAGGAGGCGGCGCUCACAGACUCUGUGCUGGCGCAGUAGGGGGAGAGGGAGAAUCUCCGGAGGCAGAUCACGACGUUGUUCGAUCACCCGCGAAAAGACACCCCCUUCAAGCGCGGGGGCAAGUACUUCUAUUUUUACAACUCCGGUCUCCAGGCCCAGAGCGUUCUUUAUGUCCAGGUAAUAUGUUGAUUAUGGAUUAAUUGAAUGUUUCUCGGCGAUAUUUCCGUGUCCUUUUGAUGAUUUGGAGCUUUAAGACUCAUUUUAGGACCUCUUAGAUUGUUAGAAUGUGGUUUCUGUCAUUGUAGAAUGAUUUAAUGAUUUAGAGCUUUAAGUCUCAUUUUAGGACCUCUUAGAUUGUUAGAACACCCUGAGGCCCCGAAGAAGAUAAAUAUAGUAGAAGAAGCCCUAGCUUCUUCCUCUUUCUUAUUAGAUUUUUUCAGGGUUAUGGUGGAGAGAUGGUGGAGAAUCACAUUCAGAAGCAGUUCCUUUGAGAGAGAGAGAGAGAGAGAGGGGAAAGGAGGGAUGUCUUCUUUUUAGCUCUUGGUGGUUUUUAUAUAAUAAAUGGUAGAGUUGGCUAAAUGGGUAGUGAGUGGAAGAAAUUCCUUUGCCUGGAAGGCUUGAACUAUUUAAGCUUCUAAAUAGUGUUGCUGAGAGAGAAGCACUCCAGGAGCUUUUAGUGGCAUCUAGAACAGAGGAGCAUACAUGGCUCCCUUUAUUUAUUUAUUUAUUUUUUUCUUUUGUUACUCUUUUCCCUCUUCUCUGUUUUCUUCUUAUCUAUACUUUCAUUCCUUCUAUUUUUUGUUUUUUAUUUUUUUCUUAUGUUUUUCUUCUUUUUUUCUAGAUGUGUUGGUGUAGGUGCAAAAUUGAGAGAAUUGGAAGGACCAUGGUAGCGGCUUUGCCGCUGUUAAUUGAGAGAAUUGGAAGGACCAUGGUAGCGGCUUUGCCAGCAAUAGCGGCAGACAGCAGGGCCGCAGAGGCGGCGUCGACGCCAAUCGCCUUGCCUCACCUCACCUCGAUCUCGCCUCGCCAUUAAGGGAUUUUAGUAUCUGCUUAGUUCUUAUUACUAUGGACAUCUCAUAUACCCACAACAGAGAAAAAAAAAUUAAAUUUAAAAAAAAAACUAAAGAAAAAGAUGACUUCUAUAGAUGGCACUAAGAUAGAUCUUUAUCCAGAUCUACACAUUUUUUUUAAGAUGAAAAUAUAACAAAAUGUUGAAAUUAUUGGUGGAUAGGGAUGUAAUGUGGGCCGUGCCGGGCCGGCACGACCCACAUUUUCCUGGCCGAAACGGGCCGGGGGGCAGCCCGGCACGGCCCGGCCCCAAAAUCGGGCCGUGCCGUGCCGGGCCAAAUUUUUUGCAACCCGGCCCAGCACGACCCCCGGCCCGGACUGCACGGGCCGUGCCGGGCCGGGCCGGGCUUCGGGCCAGCCCUUUUUGUUUUAUUAAUUUUAUUUAAAAAUAUUUAAAUUUUUUGAAAAAUAAAAAUAUUAAUAUUAAUAUUUUAAAAAAUAGUAUAUAAGUAAAAAAAUUAAAAUAUAUUUAUAAAAAUAUUAAAAUUUUAAAUUUUAAAAUUAAAUAUUUAAAAAUUUUAAAUUUUUUAGACAAAAAUACAUCCUAACAGUCAAAUUUUUGACUGUUGGGAAGGGCAUUUUAGUCCAAGCCUCUCCCAAAGCCACACCCAACUCUCAUUUGGGAGUCCAAACCAGCCCAACUCCCAAAGCAUUGGGAGUUGAGUGCUGCAGGUCUUGGCAAGGUUGGGUUGCCCAACUCCCAAGGUUGGGUUGGGUGUUGGUGCUGCAGAGCUGGGCCCGGCUCGGGAGUGCUUGGCCACACGGGCCGGGCCGUGCGCGUGCCGCCGGGCCUGGGUACCCUCUAGGCCCGGCACGCCUAAACCUAUGUCGUGCGGGCCGUGCCGGGCCAUCGGGCCGUGGAGAGAAGCCCAGCACGGCCCAAUUAACUGGUCGGGCCGGGCCGCACGGCACGCUACAGUGCCGUGCCGGUCCUGCCCGCCACUCUCGUGCCAGGCGGACGGCCGCGGCCGCCCGCCGUUGAACACCCCUAUUGUGGAACAUAUGAUUAAACAUAUUAUGUGUCAUGUUAAUUUUUAUAUUUUAAGAUGAAAAGAAAUAGUGAGAUUGUGUAUUGAACAUAUGAUCCAGCUGUGUACUGGUUGAAACGUUCUAAUAUCUCAUAUACCCUCAAUAAAUAAAAAGAAAAAAAAGAGAGGCCUAGAGUAUAACUUCAUAACUUCUUAUCUGAUUUUAUUUUAUUUUUUCUGUUAUUAUGUUUUUUAAUUAUUUUUUUCCUCAACAGGAAAGUUCAAAAAGUCUUUUUAUAAUAAAAAGUAUUAUUAUCUAGGUGAACCUCUGAUUAUUUUUUUUCUACUCAUAUAUCCAUUUUACUUUAUUUAAUUUUAAUUUUUUUAACCAUAAUGUAAAAUUAACCGCAAAAAUAUAAUAUCUAAGGUGAAUCUCUUUUUUGUUAAAUAGAAAUGCUCACAUGUUCCAAAACUCAAAAAAGAAAAAUACAAUAUUUAGGUAAACUUCUUUUUGCCUACUUUUUUUUAAAACUAUAAUUUAUUUUAUUUUAUUUUUCUACUUAACUGUUUAUAUAAUUUUAUUUAACUAUGAUAAUAAAUUAAUCGUUACCGCAGCGAAGACGCGGUUCUAUACUAGUAUAUACUAAUUCUUAGUCAAGUGCUGCAGAGAGUUCCCCAAUUUGUCACGUCCUUUACUCUGUCACGUCCUUUACUCUGUUAUAGAUUGCUAGCUAAUGUUAACAUCUACUUAUCUUUUUGGGGAAGCGUGUAUACCGGUGAGAUUGUAAAUUGCUUGGCUGAAAAGAAUGUGUCUGGAAAAUCAGAGGCAGUAGAAAUUGUUUGACAACCAUAACCACUAUUUGACAAUAUCAUUGAUUGCAUGUUGCAAUGGGUGUGCGAGCGAGUAAGCUAUUCAUGAAGUUUAGCGUGACUAGUUACCGGAUUUCAAAUCCUACAUAAGGUGAGGAAUGCUGGAUGCAGUAGGAAUCGAGAUAUAUUCCUUGCCUUUCGGAUACUUCUUCUAAGUUUCUUUCCUCGAAAAGGUUAUUCAAAUUCUUACUUUCCUUUUACGUUAACCUUAUACUUUUGUUUUAAUUGAUUUAUGUACGAAGGUCUUUCAUGUGCUGCUGUAACUCAAGCUGAAAAUAUGGAUGCCGAAUCUAGUGCAACUUGCAGUGCUAUUGUGAGAUUUGCUGUCCUUCAUCGCCUUUUCUGCUGAAACGAAUUUACUUCCAUUUUAUAACAUUGCACGCUGAGGGAGUAUGAUUUAAUUCAUUACAAUAUGAACGAGUUUCUAAAAUGACCUUUAGAAAAUUUUCUUUUAUUUUUAGCAUAAUAAUUUUCUGUUAUAUGAAGCGGAGAUAACGUUUUUGUGCUUGUCUUACAUCUUUGCAGGCUUACCAGCCUUAUGAGGACAUGUCUAAAAACAUCAGACUUUAGCGUCAAGAUGAUGCCAUGGUUCUGCAUUCUUUCCUUUUCUCUAAGUGAUGAUUUCAUUUCAGUUUUUGUCUUCAUCGGUGCGUUUAUACUGACGAAUGGCAUUUUCUUCUUGAAUUUGACUUGUUGCUAAUUAGUCUACAGGCACGCCAUUUAGAAGCGAAAAAAGAUAAAAUUUAUUUUUUCCAGUUAUUUUCUUUAUUACAGGAAAGUAAAAAAGAGUAUAUAAUUAAGUGGGUCAAGUUCUUAACUUUUGAGUAAUGGUUCCGACACUUCUUUGAUUAUUCAAAAUUUGAUUAAUGGUUUGUUUGAGCAUAAGCUAUAUUUACUUACGCUAAAAGAUUUGUUUUGACUUAAGUUUGUUAUAAAAUAAGCCCCACUAGCACUAACGUAGAGAAGUUUUAUGAAUGAAUUGAUUGGACAAGCUUCCUAUCUUCGUCCUCUUUUAGCAUUCGCUAUAUUUUUGAGAGGCUUAAUAGUUCUUUUUGAAAUUUGAUUUGCAUAAAUAUGAUAUUAGAAAUUUGGCCUGCAUCAAUUUGCUAUUUUACAUGCAAGUGUUUAGUUAAAACAUGCCAUGCUGUGCUCACACUUGGUACGAAAAUGGCUUGCAACUAGCGGGCUUGUUGAAGCUCCAAGCUAAGUAGAGAAAAGUAGUGGCUACAAUAUGUUUUCAGUCUUUCUUUCCUUCGUGGGAAUUCUUAUUCUACGAGCAUGAUUUUCAAGGGAAGUUAUGAAUUAGGCCUAUCUGUAGGUCAAUGGUAAUGUUCUGUAAAUUUGCAUAUAUUGCUGCAGAUGUGGUUUGGAGUAGCGAUUGCCCUACAUAUGCAAUAUGCAGUGCGGCAUGCUGAUAGGCUUCGUAUAAGUGAGCAACUGUUUGUGCAUUUUUUUUAAGUUGGGAUUUGAGUGUAGGAUUGAAUGGGAUUGUCUAGUUAAUGAUUAGCAUGGAGGUAUGACUACUCUAUCACAAGUUUGAGUAAUUAUUAAGCACAUAAACAUAUACUAUGUUUGUAUGAACAUAACCUAUAACAUUGGUUAAUAUGGCUAGCUGUAGCAACAGAGUGGUCCAAACAUCUUUACUCUAAAAUAGAAUAGACUCUUAAGAAUUCUUAUAAUAUAGGUUUUUAGCAGGCUAAAGAAGAUUCAAUAUUUCUCUCCUUUUCUUUGUUCUCCUCUCGGCUUUAUCAACAACCAAGAAUUUGAAAGUAAACUAAAUUGGUUGCACGCUAGUUGGUUUAAUGGAAGGAAGAGUUAGAUAGGUGGCAACUAUCUACUAGGCAAAAUUGUUUAUGAAGGGCAUACAACUAAAAAGAAAUUUGUGCACAUAGGUAUACCACAUCCUGCUCUCUUUUUUUUUAGUUUGUCUACCUUUGUCCUUAUAGCUGUGACUGUGAUCUCUAGCUCAUGUUGUUGAUGUGUUGAAUCUCUUAUCAUAUUUCAAAUUAGGGUUCCUUGAUUUGUCUUUUGAUCUAAGUCGAAAUUUUCUUCUCAUUGUACUCUUGAUCGCUAAUCUGGAUUACUUGUGAAGUUUUGUAAGAACUUCAAUAUCUGACUUGGGUGCUACACUCUAAGGAGAAUCCAUCUUCUUAAGAGCAUUUGAUUUGGUAGGCAUUAUCAAACAUGAGCAUUUGGAUGUUUGGGAUAUUAAAUGUACUGUGGGCAUGAAAAAAAGAAGGAACUAGUUGGGCAUCAUCCAAGCAUAGACUAGGUUGGAGUGCCUCUUUCGACUUUGUUUCUCUUGGCUUUUGACGACCCAAAACCUAACAAGAAAAACAAAUUUAACUUAGUGAGGGCUGGAACCCAUCCUUCAUCUUGAACGUAGACCUCGUGGUUCACCCCAAGUGCCUACUUUCUAUUUGGCUUGUUCAGUUUGCAUAAGCAAUCUAUUUUGUCACUGUCUACUUGAUCCUAUGGAUAUGAGAGACUGCUUAUACAUUUUUGUGGUGCGACUUGGAGGUUGCUCUUGCUUAUGUAGUAAAAUGCAGGAUGACAUGGAGUACCUUUUUCGAUAUGUUGAUAAAUGGUAUUUUGUCUUUUAUAGAUGAUAUAGUUUUCAAUGAGAAAUAAUUUUAAAACUAUGUUUAUUUCUUUUAGAAAUUUUCUUCUAUUUUUAGUGUACUCUUUUAAAUAUGUGAUUAGCGGAUAACAUUUGUUUAUUGUCUUAUAUUUUUUCAAGCCCAUCAAUCUUUGGAGGAAAUGUUUGAAACGUCAAAUGUUGCUAACAACAAUGGCGAUACGGUUUUUCUUUACUUUUUUCUUUUCAAUUUAAGUGAUGAUUUUCUUUGCAAUUUUUGUCUUCCAUGGUGCACUUAAGGUUGACCUUUUGCUAAUUUUGAAAAUAAAUAGAACAUAAAUUAUUCUAGUAAUUUUAAUUAUUUUUGCAGGAAAUAUUAAAUCCAAUUUUUUGUUGGAUGAUUUAUUUAAAUUUUCAUAAUUAUUGGUUUUGGAUAAGCCAUAAUCUCUUCUUUUAGUGGAUUUCAUAUUAUUAAAAUUUUGAAUAAUAGUUGUUUUUGGAUAAGAUAAUAGUGUUAACGGGAUUUAUUUUGAUUUAGAUCUAUUAUAAAUAAUCUAUACUUAAGGUAUUGUAGAAAGCUAACAAAUUGAGUUUUAGAAAUUAGUUUUACAUAAUCCAAUUGUGUCCCCUGGAUCAGUCGGCGGGCGUCAUCUCUCUCUUGCUAUGUUGUUCUUUUCUCUCUAAGAUUGGAUAUAGGCAAAGCUCUCUUUCUUUUGCCUUUUUUAUCAUUUAUUAGGCUGUACAUCGUUCCAGGUGACACUGAUCUUGAUAUGAAAACAUUUUCUCUAAAAGUGAGGUGAAUGGGUUGUAAUGGAGUAUGAGGAAUGGAUGGCUGGUUCAUUGAUGUUCAACAAGCUAUAAUUUUGGAUUCCUGUUGACGUGAUCAAAGAAAAUAUUUACCCUACUUUAGGGUCUAUGUAGGUUUUUUGACCAAAGGUCCAAACUUGGAUCUGACCUCUUUGCAUAAGCGAAUGUUUGUUUUUGAUCUGUUGUAGAUAAUCCCUACAUAUAUGCUACCGGUCGAUCAUGAACAGUCACGCCUCGGGACCCAGCGGAAGCCCGCCCGGCAUGUGUCCAGACCCGCCAUACGUCUAAAACAUAUAAGGCGUCUACAAAAAUUACGAUAAAUAAUGCGAUAAUAAAAAGACAUCUAGGACUAUCAGAGCAUAGUACAACAUCUAGAUUCUAAGAGAUAUAGAGUCAAAUAAAAGAGCUAACAAAUCCACUAAGAGUAACCAUAAAGUAGUACAUUGAACAUCCAAAAUACAAGUGCUAAAAGUAUAACAAUGGUGGUCUCUAUACACGGGUACAAAACCUCUCACUCUCAACUACAACAAAAAAUGAGAGUAAACCACCUAAUAAGCAAAAGAAACGCUCCUCGCUAGCUAGCUAAGUGAUCCUCUUCCCGCGAUCCCGUGCCUCUGCCGUUGCUGAAGGCUCCGAAAGAAAACCAUAAAAUAAAGGGCGUGAGAACUAUUAAAUAAUAGUUCCCGGUGGGCAAUUACUGAUUUCAGUGAAAAGCACCACUAGGCCCAAAAGAACUAAACAUGUAAGUGCGAUCAAGUAAGCAAUGUGAACAAGUCUUUAAACAUGAAUAUUUACUAAACCAUGAUGUCUCUACUUAGCAUGAUUUUGCAUAAGUAAAAUACUAUUCUAACAUGUAUGUGCAUAAAUAUACAACCAACAUAAUGUCCGCAAUGUAAAUAGUAAUAUGUCACUGUUUACUAUUCUAGUCAAUGUCCAAUUGGCAUACUAUGUCACUAUAGUUCCGAUCAUGUAGGACCUACACGUGGGUAGUCCAGGUUGCACCGUGCCUCGUGGUAGUCAACAUCCCCACUCUAGGAAUGAGCCUCCCCCACGGCAUUCCAUUUCGGCGCCUAAUCCCGCACGGGCGAGCAUGUGUCGCGAUGGCUAUCUCCGGAGUGCCGGCUUGUGGGAAGUGACCCUCACAAGCAUGUGUGAAUGAGCACAAUCGGCAAGCAAGCGUAAAAGUCCGUCUCAAGUCCCAAGUCAUCAUGUCUAAAACAUGAAAUGUAGCAUAUAUCUCAAUGGCCUAUCACUAUGCCAUCAUGUCUAAAACAUGGAAUAUAGUCGAUGUCCAAUGACCUAUCACUAUGCCUCUAUGUUGCAGUUUCAUAGUUUACUAAGUCGGGUGCCCUUUUAUGGCACUUCUAUCCACUAAGUCCAAGCAUGAGUUUAGAGUUCAAAAGCACAUAAUUCGAGUCAUUUUUAUCAUACGAGACAUGUUCCCAUCUUGCAAGAAAGAAUACUUCUCACAUGCAUGCAUAAUGCACAUAAUGCUCUACUAUAUAGAGUUAAAUUUUCAUGAUACAUAGCAUAUGUAUUUUAAGUAUUCUAAAAUUCAUAAAAAUUCUAUUUAGCAUGAAUAUGCAUGCGAUACGAUGAAACGAAAAUAUUUAACCACUUAGGGGAUGAUUUCCCCUAAUCCAAUGAAGCCAAACCCACCGUCACUCUCGCAACCUUUCGUUUCGCCGAACAAAGGUGCCCACUACUCUCCUAGCACUCUAAAGGUAUAGAAAAGAGAGAUAUACGAACGUUACGAACAAGACAUUGCUCAAACAUUAAGCAACACAAGCAAAGGUGAAGAAAACUCACCGAAUGCGAGGAAACUCUCUCGAUCUCCAAAAGGGAUUUAGAGUCCUUCCAAUCCAACCUAAACAAAGGUUCUAAACCCAUUAAUUUGGUUCCAAAACCCUCUAAUAAAAAAUCCCCAUUUCUAACCCUAAAUCUCAUUUCUAGGGUUCCAACAACAAAAAUCCUCCAAAACAUGAUCUAAAAGAGAGAUCAUGGGUACUCACCUCUCAAGAUGUUCCAAACCAAGCUUGGGAUGCACCAAGGUUGAAGAUCCUCCCUUUAUCAAGCUCCAACAAAAGCUUCAAAGCUUUUCCAAUGGUGAACACCCAACAUGAAGCAAAGAGAAGGAGAAAAGAGAGAUCAAAACUAGUUAAACCAAGCAAAAUAGGGCAAAAAUCCAAGGGAGAGGUCUUCACCUGGGUUCUCCACGAAAUAGGGCUCAAAGGAGCUCUCUAAGGGGCUGGGGCAACAUAUAUAGGGUUUGCAACAAUUGCAAAUACACCCCUCAACAAAAACUGCUCGCACUGCACUCUGUACCGGUACACGGGAAAGUGUACCGGUACAAAUCCUGCGAGACGACAAACCCGAGCCUCAGGUUGGCAGUUCACCACAUGUGUACCGGUACAACCAUCAAGGUGUACAGGUACAAAACCUGUACCGGUACAACCAUCAAAGUGUAUCGGUACACAGCCCUGCAGAAUGCAACCCGAGAGCAGUCUAAGUCCUCGGUGGCCUCAGUGCUAUUUUAAAUACUACAAUUCUCGGGAUACGAGCCAUAGGUCGGACCACUGUCAACGUCCCUCUAGAAUAUCUGGAAAAGCUCGGAACACUGAGCAAACACUCGAACCUUGCAAUUUGUAAAGGUCCAGUGUGUUACAUGAACUUAGGACAUUGUCAAUAGAAAGAUUAGAGAAAGGUUCAUAAUCCAUCAAUCAUCUCUCUGUGUCUGUGUCUCUGCCCAGUAUAUUUCUGAUGUUUAAUGUAUGUUUUCAUAAUAUUUGUGCAUCUUAGUAUUGUAUCUCUCAAUUUCAUUGUGUAUUCUAGUUUGCCUUUGUUAGUGAUUGCUGGUUAGUUCAACGAACUGCAACACCUAACUUCAUCGGCAGCUAUAUCUGAAGAUGAAUUACGAUACAACAAAAUGCAGUCAAGUAGGUGCGGAAUUUCUGAUGUAGGACUAGGAUAUAUAGGUGGUGAAGUCCUCAGCUACUUAAGUCCUAACAUCUUUAUCAAUGCAUUCGUAUUUCCCAGCCUUCUAAUAUAGAAAACACCACAAACCGCUAAAUCGUUGCAAUGGCUCUAAAUUUGCCUCUCACCAUGUCUUCUUAAUCCGGCGUAAAGCCUAUGGCAGACAUCCAACUAGCCCCAUAUUGCUCCAUGCCUUAAUACACCAACUAGCGUGUAAGGGGAUCUAGCCCACUAAUAUUACGAAGGUAGCGGGCUUUAGCCACACAGCCUAGAAUAGUUGUGCCGGUUAUUAGUAUUAACACUUAAGUCUGUACAAGCCCAAGUACCUUACUUUUCCAUGAGAGAUUAAAAACGUUUUAAGUAACAUAAGAUUCCCUUCUUUUUAUAGGUCAAAACUGUCACGCCCCGAGCCCCAGCGGAAGCCCAACGGGCGCGUGCACAGAUUCGCCGUGUACACUAAGCACCUCCGGUGCAUACAAGGCGUCUACAACAACAUGGAAAAGAAACAAUCCUAACAUGGCUAUCAGAGCGAGAGCAUAAGCCUACUAUAAGUACAUACAACUGGAAAAGAAGAAAACUAGUAAAUCUCUAAAUAAAUACAUAGUACAUCCUUUAACAAUAAACAAAAAGAAAGAUGUUGACGGGUCCAACUAUGAUAACACCGCAAAAGCUCUAGCUAGACGCUAACUCCUUAACACGAUCCCUAGCCUCUCCCGCUGCGGAAGGCUCUGAAACAAAAACAAACAACCAAUGGAGGUGAGAACUAUUAAACAAUAGUUCCCAAUGGGUAAGUCGCCGAGAGUGGUGAAAUACACCACUAGGUUAACUGAGGCAUGCUAACAUACAAAAUGUGAGUAACAUAAAGAUGACAAGUAAAUAAACAAAUUUAUUACUAAGUCAUGCCUCAACAUAAUAAUGUAAACUAAUAGAUAUGAUUUCCUAUUGUCACAUGCAUUAAGUAAAUGCAUAUGCAAGUUUACAUGCUCAUCAUUGUUAAACUUUAACAACAGAUUAAAGAACAAUACUUUUCAUUGUCAAUAUAAUCAUGCAUCUAUACUAAUCAACAUAGGUGUAGAUUUACUACCACGAAAGUUGUCAAUAUUGAUAAUGACUAACAUAAAUGUCCAUUUUCUAGAAAUGCAUCAAAAAGAGCCACGAGAUAGUAACCGACUAGUAUAUCCAUCUACUAUAUAUGCAUCAACUGCUGGUGAUGUACGAUGUCAAGUUUAAUUACAUUUAUCCAAUCAACGAGGGACUUACACGUGGUAAAGUCUCGGCUCGUGCCGUGCCUAAUGGCCCCGCGGUAGUCAACACUUCCCACGGCAAUCCACUUCGGCGCCCAAUCUCGCACGGGCGAUCUAUCGUCGCAAGGCUUCUCCGGAGUGCCGGCUUGUAGGGAGCGACCCUCACAAGCUUGUGCGAAUGAGCACAAUGGCAAGCAAGUGUGAUCAAUAGCAUGGUGUCCACAUUUCAAAUGCCCAAUCAUCAUGUCUAAAACAUGGAAUCACAACAUCGACUCGAAGGUCGGAUACUAUUUUAUUUGAGUUAUAACUCAUUCAAUUAACUAGGUAGGACUCUAUCAAUAUGCAUCGUAUCUCAAACACGUAAGGGUCCAUAUAACAUUCAAGACUCUGUCGGGUUUCACCCACUCUAUUUCUACUAUAGUCAAGAGAGUCAUUACUAAUGCCAUAUCCAAUGAAUCACAAGAAUGCUCACAAAAAUUAUAAUGUAUGCCAUAUUGCCAUGCAUAUGCUUUGCUACCAAGGUCUCCACUAUAUGGAGGAAUUUUUUUUAUAAAUAAUCCUAUCCAUUUUUAUAAUUAUAAAAAUAAUUUUUUUAAAAAAAUAAUUAUAAAAAUAGACCUCUAAAUGCGGUGAAUGAUUCACCGCAUUCAUAACUCUUCUUUAGAAGUAGAAAAAGAAUAAAAGCGGUGAACCAUUCACCGCUUUUACCAUCGUAAAAAUAUAAAAAAAAGUGAGAAAAAGAAAGAAAGUGGUGAAUGAUUCACUGCUUUUAAAAGCGCUGAAUCAUUCACCGCUUUUAUAGGACCAUAUUUACAAAUAAAAAUUUAACGAGUCUAUUUUUAGAAUAAAAUUUUAGGAAAGGACUAUUGCACUAAAAAACCCAUAUGGAGUAUAGGAGUUAUCAUGCAAGCAAUUCAUUCAAUUAGUAUUAUAUGCGUUAUGCGCUUGCCCCUAUUAUUGAUCGCCCAAAGGCGUCGUAAUCUCAUUCGUUAUGUCUAAAACAUGAAAUACGACUAACGACCUAAAGGUCGAGUACAAUGUCAUAAUGCUCACUUAGUUGUUCAACUAGUUAGGUACAACAUGCUUAACUUUACAAUUUCUCUCUACCAUGCAGUAGGUCAUAUUUGCCCUUGGCUAAAACAAGUAUAUUAAUUAGUAUGCAAAUCGAACUCAAUAAUUUCCUAACCACGCGAAGUCCCAUAGGACUUUCAUUUACUCAUCUCUAUCAUGCAUCCUAAUGUUGCAUAAGAGGAAAAUACUAUUACAUGCUAUCUAGUGCCAUUUAGUGUACAAGUCUACAUGAUAAACCUUUACUAAAUAGAGUAUGAAAUUCUACAUGUCUCAUGAAUGUAUCAUGCAUUCAAAAUUUCUACCAUGUCCUAACUAGCAUGGAUAUGCACCAAAUUAUGUCUUAUAAUAACAUAGAAGAUAUAGAGGGAGUUUACCCAUUUCGGUGAGGUUAAACCCACCGGAUAUUCUUCGAUCCCUUUCGUUCCUUUGAAUGAAGUUGUCCGUCAAGCUCCUAGUACCCUAAGAGAAUUUCUAAAAGUGUUACAAGCUUCUAACAAGCCUCAUACAAAAAUAACCAAAACUCAAGUCCAAAAUAGGUGGAAAAUACCUUUACUCAAGAAGAAUCUGACCAAAGUCCAAAUCGAAGUUACAAAGCUUCAAAUCCUACCUAAAAGAGAGUUCUACACUCAUCAAUUAGGUUCCAAAAGCCUCACAACAAGAAUCCCUAAAUUAAAUCCUAGUUUUUCCAUAACUAGGUUUAAUUCCACAAAUCUUCACAAAAACACAAUCAAGAGUAGCAAUUAGGUUACUAACCUUCAAGAAAACUCCAAACCAAGCUAAACUUGAGCUAGGGUUGGAGUUUAAUCCUGAACUAAGCUUCUAGCUUCACUUCCAAGACUCCUAUAGGGUUCACCAAGCAAGCUUCCAUGGAAAGAAAGAAGAAAACAAGAUCAAAUCUUUAAAUCUACAUGAGAUUAGAGAGGAAAUCUAAAGCGAGAGAGAGAGAGGAAAAGCUUACCGUAAGGUCCCAGCACAGAAGACCAAGAAUGAGGGGUGCUAGGGAUAUACACUAAUGUAACAAUCCCAAAAAGGCCUCUCAAAAGCUCUCAAAUAGCAAACUGCAUGAAAUGCAGUUAUCGGUACCCAGCACAAAGACACCAAACCGGAGCGCUAGACCGUCAGGUUUAAUACGGUGUAUCGACACCCAGUUCGGUACUGGUACUCACCAACCAGUAUUGGUACUCAACGCCCCAGCUCCUCAAACCUAAGAGCUGGCCAAUUUGGCACUCUACAGGGUAUCGGUACCAACAUCCAAUACCGGUACUCAACACUAAAACCUACACUUUGCAUAUUUCGAUGUCGAAAGUCCGUUCUCACGCCUAAUAUGCUCCAAAAACAGGCAGAUACAACACAAACAACCCUCAAAACAUUUAAAAUAGUUCAAAGUACUAUGCUUACACUAGAACCUUGCCAUUUACUAAAGUUUAGUGUCCUACAAAAACAGAUUCCAAUCGCAGCAAAUUAGCAUCAACAGUGGCACUGAUUGGGCCUUGAAGCAAAAAGGAAAAUGAACUUGGUAAAAGCUAUUAUGUCGACAAAGUAUGAUCCUAAUUACUCAAAUCGAUUAAACUUGAAAGUGCCUCUGAUUCCCCAGUAAGCGUAAUGCUUGAGUAUGUAAGGGCAAAGGCUUUGGUAUUACUGAACUAGUUAACUUUGGGUUGAAGUAGCUUUGGCCAAGCUGUUGAGACUUUUAAAUUUGCUGCACUACAAUCUAAUCAGGCCUUAUAGAGAAAAAAAGUAAGAUAAAAUGUUAUAGCUGGGGGUCACCUGUCCUAGAACUACUACGUUUAACCCUCUUAAUCUCUUGGGCCUAGCCACUGCCCAAAAUAUCUUAGAGAGGUUAAGAGGUUUUAGCCCUAUAUAUCUUGUAUAUAGAACUAUUUCAAAUCAUGGGGUCGAUGCAUUCCUCCUCCCUUUAAGCCUUGACAUUCUCGUCAGACUUUGAUGAUGUAAGCCUCAUCUUGCUAGCCUUCAUCCAAGCCUCAUCUUGCUAGCCUUGUCAUUAUGAUCCUAAGCCUGUCAUUUUCAGAUCUUGGUUUAGCCUGUCAUUCAGAUCCUAGCUCAAUCGAGAUUUAUAUCACACGUUCUGCUGUUGAUUGUCUUUGGUACCAACUGUGAUGCGCUCAUUUCCUCUGGGCCUCAUCCAUCCUAGAACUACUCUAGUCCCAGCACGCUUAAUGCUCUUAGCCUCUUGGCCUAGCCAUUGCUGCCCAAAAUGCUAUAGCUGUGUUAACAGGUUUUGUCCAUUAUAUCUUAUAUAUAAGGCUAUUCCAAACCUGGGGGUGUCACAACUUAAUCUAAUUAGCCUUACAUAGGCAGAAAGUAAGAUAAAAUGCAAAGGUCCAUGAUGCUAAAUGGUGCUAAAUGGUAUCUACAGCAUCCUAAAUGCACUCAUUUUUUGUCCUCUUUUGUUGGGAGGGAGAGGAAGGAGUAGGUUGUACUGACGAUCGCAUCAUAAUUUUGCUAUAGGUAAGUGCAUACGUGUCCACGUAAGAAGCAUUUACAGAUCAAAACUUUAGAAAAUAAAGAGUGCAUAUCAAAAUGAAAGGGAUUAAUGAAAUAUAGAGAAGUCCCAUAACUUUUACAGGCUCUCCCCACACUUUCCCUAGGGCAUUAAGCAUUAUAAUAUAGCAAGGAUAAUGCUGAAAUUUACGUUAAAGAAGUCUAACUGUGAAUUUGGUUAAUAAUUGAAUCUUUGUUAGGAGUAUCUACGCAUGGUUCUAAGGAAGUAUUUAAGCAGCUAAUGACAUACUUGUCGUGGUCAACUUACUCAUGUGGACAUGUACCUCUAGGCUGCUUUUUUCUAGGCAACAUUGUUAAGGGAUUACAUUUCUCAUAUGCGCCCGCACCAUCGCAUGCACUGCUUUUCCUAGCAUUUAUAAUGAAAUGCUUGCGGACAACGUUAUAUGUGGAGGGAUAUAUGUUCCAAUUGUCAGAGAGUUAUAGUUUAGAUAGCAGCUAUGUAAUGGUUAUAAUUUUUUUUUUUUAAAAAAUUACCAGCCAAAGGAAGGUCAGAGAAAGUAUUAGUAAUUUAAGAUUGAUGGAAAAAAGCUUUCAAAUGAUAAGGCUCCAUGGAACUGCAUACUGUUCAAAAAGUAGCCAUAAUAACAUUUAGGGAACUUAUCUGAAAUAUGGACCAUUUGGAUUUUGCUACCCAAACUUUCAAAAUUUUGAUUUUACUACCCAACCUUUCAAUUUGUUCGACUUGAGUUGGUCAACGCCAUUGACUCCAAAAUUUAGGCUAACUACUUUAAUGAAUAUGUAAUUGUGAAAAUUGUCUAAAAUAUACUAAUUAACAUGUGUAAGAUAAACGAUGCGUUCCAAUUUGAAGUCAAACUACUUUGACUGAGUCAAAUCAAACAAAUUGAAAGGUUUGGUAGUAAAAUCAAAAUUUUGAAAGUUUAGGUAGCCAAAUCCAAAAGAUCCAUAGUUCAGGUUAGUUUCAUGCAGUUUUACCUAACGUUUAAGAUACAACCUCCAAACUGAAACCUUCUAGUAUUAAUGCAUGGAGUUGUUUGAACAUGUAAACAUGUGGAUUGAGUGUAGCGGUCGAGGUUACCUUGUGUAUUUAUGUUUUCCCUUGUAUUAUCAUGAAAUUUAAAAUCUUCAUAGGAGAUGUAAUGUGCUUUUAAGUGUCACAUGACAAUAAUUCUUCUUUUUUUUUUAAAAAAAUCUGAUUAUUAUUCCUCUUCUCUUUUAUGUCUUCUAUCCUGUAUCCAUUGUUCCUUCUUUUUAUCAUCGCUUUGUCAACACUAUUAAUGUGUAAGAUUGUAAACUGCUUGCUCUUUCUUCGCGCACCUUGAGCAUCCCUCUUUUCUUUUUUUGCUUGUUUUGUAUUACGGGGUAUAUUUUGGAGUAAGAUUAAUUUUUCAUUUUUUCUAUUCAGGAACACUAUUAUAAACAAGAGGCUAUUAGACUAGUAAACUUUACAAAAACGUUGUAUUCCUUGGAUUCUGUAGAUGUAAGUAUCGAUGCACUAUGGUUAUUUAUUUUUAAGUAAUUAUAUUAAAAUUUUACUUAUUUCUUGAACUAAUUUUAACAAAAUUCUUCUUUGUUCACAUGUAGUUCUACAGGUGCCCGGUGGAUCUGCAUAAAGAGCUGGAGAUGAAGGGUUUGAUCCCACCUAAUUUCAUAGGAGCUGAAGAGUGUAUAAGAGUAAGUAUCUCAACGCAACAUUUGUUACUAUUGAAACAAGUAUUUAUUUUGUCUUUAUGCAGCUAAGGUGCACCAAAUCUAAUAUCGUGCAUUACUAUGAUACGUACUACAAGUUAGUCGAAAAGCUCUGUGAUUUGGCACCAUAUAUGCAGGUUGCUUUCUCAACUGUUUCUAGUAAUUUAUUUCUGUGGAUUACUAUUAAUUGUUUUUAAUCUUGUUGUAGUGGAAUCAUGAGAUUGGUAAGCAAGUUGAAUGGCUAAAGGAGAAGGGUCAUCUUACAUCUCUCUGCGAUUCUACUAUUUCUGAGUACGAGAUAUGUUUGGCCCUUGAGGUGAUUGUUUUGAAUAUAUUGCUCGAUUUUGGAUUACGAGUUUAUUUAUGAACGUCAAUCUAAUUAUUUAACUCUUCUCUUUCAAGAACCUCCAUGGACUUUUUUUUGA